This is a long non-coding RNA of Nothoprocta perdicaria, 116 nucleotides long. RefSeq lists it as uncharacterized. The transcript is spliced from 2 exons. The record is from RefSeq and is a predicted model, not a curated record. Lineage: Eukaryota; Metazoa; Chordata; Aves; Tinamiformes; Tinamidae.
CCAGUGUGGCCUGUGUGCCUGCACGCUCAGAGCGGGUAACCAGCGCUGCUGAGGCACYGAACAUGAGGCGUUAGGUUUCUCGCACAACCCUCUAAGCUCAAAGCAGCCUGAACGUG